GGGUAUGUUUUAGGAUGUUGUAUUAUUUGUGAAUAUAUCCAAAAAGGAGGAUGCAUAUAAGUAAUAUAACAAUUAAGAGAUUGGUUAAGACAACAUGCAAUAAGAAAGUGAAGGUUCACCACACACAUCUGAUUUGUUUCCCUCAGAAAACAAUAUACUUUGCAUAAACUUGUCUCUAUCAGAGUAGUAAGUUAUGUAAGAAAAGAUGUUCAUUAUCAUCAACUAGCUAGCUAAGCAAUAAUAUUGACAACAGACUAUUCUCUUCCUUUCUCUUUCUCUUUCUCUUUCUGCUUAAAAAUACACAAUAUCUCUCUCUCAUGGACCAGGUGGGUGGUGGUGGUGUAGUAGUAGUAGUAGUAGCAGUUGGUGAUGGUUCUUUAUAGCUGUUGGCUGUUUUUAUAUCUGUGGCAGUGGAUUCUGAACCCAAUUGUGGUCCUCAACAAAAAAUGUUACCCAUAUUACACGAAUGGAUCAUCCUCCUAUUUCACCACUUCUAAUCAUCUCUCUUUCUUUUCUUUUCUUUCUCUCACUCCCUCUGUUACAAAGUACAUCUCUCUCUCUCUCCUCUCUUUCUCUUUCUUGAUUGUAGUGACAUGAUCUUCUUUUGCCUUCUCAUUUUACA
This 622-nucleotide long non-coding RNA is filed under the name Ricinus communis (castor bean). RNAcentral describes it as "long non-coding RNA (RCOM_LNC002674)". Lineage: Eukaryota; Viridiplantae; Streptophyta; Magnoliopsida; Malpighiales; Euphorbiaceae. The record is from RNAcentral.